Molecule: ribosomal RNA, 245 nt
Filed under: uncultured bacterium
Lineage: Bacteria
Description: partial 16S ribosomal RNA
Rfam family: Bacterial small subunit ribosomal RNA
Source: RNAcentral
GAGCAAGCGUUGUUCGGAAUUACUGGGCGUAAAGAGUGUGUAGGUGGUGUCGUAAGUUUGGUGUGAAGUCUCCCGGCUUAACUGGGAGGGUGCGCCGAAGACUGCGAUGCUGGAGUAUGGGAGAGGAAAGCGGAAUUCCUGGUGUAGCGGUGAAAUGCGUAGAUAUCAGGAGGAACACCUGCGGUGUAGACGGCUUUCUGGACCAUUACUGACACUGAGACACGAAAGCGUGGGUAGCAAACAGG